Molecule: long non-coding RNA, 251 nt
Organism: Patiria miniata (bat star)
Lineage: Eukaryota; Metazoa; Echinodermata; Asteroidea; Valvatida; Asterinidae
Exons: 3
Source: RefSeq, a predicted model, not a curated record
UGUUCGACCCCGAAUAUUUCGACCUUCCAGAACCCUUACACGAACCACUUAGAAACCGCGAUUUGAAGCCAUCUACAAUUUUCGGGCCGACUUGUGAUUCUAAUGACGUCAUCAUGGCUAACUGUAUGUUUCCUGAGAUGGACACCGGAGAGUUUGUCUUGUUCCAUGAUAUGGGAGGCUAUACCGCUACGUGUGCAUGCGAUUUUAACGGUUUCAGCCUGCCGCCAACGUGGUACAUUGCACCCAAAGAG